AAGAGGAGCUGACCGACACUCAUUCAACGCCUGAGUGUUAACCUGCAAUGGUGCUGCACUGGAAACGUGAAGUUCCCUUCCGAGAACUUAUUCCGCUUGUUCUUACCUGUCCGCCCUCCGCCGCCGUCUACUACCUCUGGACCCUUGGAACCUCAAAAUACCCACUCGAAGAUCCUCCCCGAUCCUACGGCCCGGAACUCCCCCCCCAGCUCGUAAUCCACCCCGCCACAAUGUGUCAGCAGACCGCGAGCCGCUCCCUGGGAGACGCUUCCCGCCCGCGAUACAUCACCCUUUUUUCUUUGUAAAAUAAACCUUUAACGGAA
Gambusia affinis (western mosquitofish) is the source of this 323-nucleotide long non-coding RNA. RefSeq lists it as uncharacterized. The record is from RefSeq and is a predicted model, not a curated record. NCBI's taxonomy places the organism in Eukaryota, Metazoa, Chordata, Actinopteri, Cyprinodontiformes, Poeciliidae. The transcript is spliced from 3 exons.